GAAGGUGGCAAGCGUUACUCGGAAUUACUAGGCGUAAAGGGCAGGUAGGUGGUUUGGUAAGUCUGUUGUGAAAGCUCCCGGCUUAACUGGGAGAGGUCAACAGAAACUACCGGACUUGAGUGUGGGAGAGGGUACUGGAAUUCCUGGUGUAGCGGUGAAAUGCGCAGAGAUCAGGAGGAACACCUAUGGCGAAAGCAGGUACCUGGACCACUACUGACACUCAGCUGCGAAAGCUAGGGGGAGCAAACAGGAUUAGAUACCCUGGUAGUCCUAGCCGUAAACGAUGCACAUUAGGCGUGAGGGGUAUCGACCCCCUUCGUGCCGACGCAAACGCAUUAAAUGUGCCGCCUGGGGAGUACGGCCGCAAGGUUG
Molecule: ribosomal RNA, 372 nt
Filed under: uncultured organism
Description: bacterial SSU rRNA
Rfam family: Bacterial small subunit ribosomal RNA
Source: RNAcentral